AUUGAACGCUGGCGGCAUGCCUUACACAUGCAAGUCGAACGGCAGCACGGGUGCUUGCACCUGGUGGCGAGUGGCGAACGGGUGAGUAAUACAUCGGAACAUGUCCUGUAGUGGGGGAUAGCCCGGCGAAAGCCGGAUUAAUACCGCAUACGAUCUACGGAUGAAAGCGGGGGACCUUGGGGCCUCGCGCGAUAGGGUUGGCCGAUGGCUGAUUAGCUAGUUGGUGGGGUAAAGGCCUACCAAGGCGACGAUCAGUAGCUGGUCUGAGAGGACGAUCAGCCACACUGGGACUGAGACACGGCCCAGACUCCUACGGGAGGCAGCAGUGGGGAAUUUUGGACAAAGGGCGAAAGCCUGAUCCAGCAAUGCCGCGUGUGUGAAGAAGGCCUUCGGGUUGUAAAGCACUUUUGUCCGGAAAGAAAUCCUUGGCCCUAAUACGGUCGGGGGAUGACGGUACCGGAAGAAUAAGCACCGGCUAACUACGUG
This 486-nucleotide ribosomal RNA is filed under the name uncultured bacterium. Its description in RNAcentral is "partial 16S ribosomal RNA". It matches the Rfam family "Bacterial small subunit ribosomal RNA", at positions 30 to 507 of the family's 1533-position model. The record is from RNAcentral.